CCCCGGGGCAAGGAGGGGAGGCCAGGCAGCCGGAAGGAAACUCCUGAGCUUUUUACGGAAUGCACAAGACAAAAGAGUGCUGCUUGCUCUGCAGCUGGUCCAAGAAGCUUCACCUCCCAGGAGCACCAGACAGAUGAUCUCCUGUUUACAGUGGUUCCAGGAGCACCAACCCCAAGGAUGAGUUAUAAGCAGGUCUCUAAAGAGAUUUUAGGAGAAGCUGCUAAAAUGGUGGCAAAGCUCUUUAGAAACAUAGAAGUAUGAACCUUUUUAUGGGGAGAACUUAUAAGAGUUUGGAGAGGUCUUCCAGGUCCACACAACCUCCCUGGAAAUGGCAAGGAGUUAUAAUUUCCAUUUUACAGAUGAAAAAUGAAAAAGAGGAGAAGGGGAUGCCAUUUGCUCAAGGCUGCUGGAACGCUAGGCUGGCUCUGGGACUAUCACGAAAAGUUUCUAACCCCCCGCCACGGCUCUUCUCACAACACAAGAAUGAGCUCAGAGAGGUUAAUGAACCUGCCAAAGACCCCAGCUGAGAGACUGAGUUGGUUUGCAGAUUCCAAAGCCCACAUUCAUUCCAUUUUAUCUCAUCUUUAGUGGACUUUGAACAUGCCUCAGCCUUCACCUUGACCCUUGGUGAAGGUGCUGAGAACCAAGACCCAGUGCAGCGGUGUCUCUGGAACCUCCUGGAGCUCAGCAGCCGACUCCCAAACCUGGAGGUCCUCACUCUGCACCCUGUGCUCUGCCCUCUGGCUGAUCCUCAGCAUUCCCAGGCAGCCUGGCUCCCUGUAAAGUUGUUUAAACUUCUGUUUAUCAUCAUCUUCCAUCAUUUCUAAUUGUUUUCCUGUGUCCCUUUCUUUUGUAGAGGAUAUAAACUCAGCAUUUUAGCUUUUGAAAUAGAUUUGCUGUGCAGUUUCAUGGCUCUUUAGUGGCUUAAAAUGUAUUGUUCUGUGAGUCUUUCUGUGCCCGUCACAGCAUUCACUGUGGGAAGCAGCAGGACGCCAGCGAUGCUGAUGUUUAUUUGAUUUUAGGGGACUUUAAGGCAUUCCUGGGACCAUACGGAUUCUAAAUAUUCUGCCUCAUUGUCUUCAGAAGCUACUAAAAUAUCCUAGAAAUGAUCAUGUUUCAGCAUGUAAGCUACAUAUUUCACGUUACCUCUUGUAUCCAUCCAUACAUAGCCUCUAUCAAGAGCCUGGCAUAAGCCAAUGUAAUGGUUCUGAAAUGGUAACCACAUGGUUCUUCAAUCACUAAAACCCUUUCCACUCUGAGAUUGGACAUUCAUUGCUAUUUUCUGCCAGGGCUUUGAUUUACAAGACUGUCUAUGAGUUCUGUGUUUAAUAUACAGAACUGGCUGCCCUCAAUGCAUGAGACUUCCUGGUAUUUUUUUCAUGUGAUUAGAUGGAUUACAUUUGUUUCAUAUUUAUUGUUUAGAUAUACAAGUAAUCCUCACUUUGCACAGUGUCAUGUCUGCAUAUUGAAACCCUAUACUCACUUUGUGCAAUCCUUUGGUAAGUGCAAAGUGAGAACACAGGUCUGAUAUGUACAAGUUUCAGUGAACAUGGUACUAUGCAUCAUGAAGACUAUCUGAAGUUGCUUUCAAAUAAAAUUUGGAUAAGGACUGUA
This 1614-nucleotide long non-coding RNA is filed under the name Homo sapiens (human). Its description in RNAcentral is "HSALNT0317198". Lineage: Eukaryota; Metazoa; Chordata; Mammalia; Primates; Hominidae. The record is from RNAcentral.